Molecule: ribosomal RNA, 640 nt
Filed under: uncultured bacterium
Lineage: Bacteria
Description: bacterial SSU rRNA
Rfam family: Bacterial small subunit ribosomal RNA
Source: RNAcentral
CAGGAUUAGAUACCCUGGUAGUCCACGCCGUAAACGAUGAUCACUCGUUGUUGGCAAUACAUCGUCAGCGACUAAGCGAAAGUGAUAAGUGAUCCACCUGGGGAGUACGUUGGCAACAAUGAAACUCAAAGGAAUUGACGGGGGCCCGCACAAGCGGUGGAGCAUGUGGUUUAAUUCGAUGAUACGCGAGGAACCUUACCUGGGCUUGAAUGUGUAGUGCCGAUAUAUGAAAGUAUAUUUUUCUUCGGAACACUAUGCGAGGUGCUGCAUGGUUGUCGUCAGCUCGUGCCGUGAGGUGUCGGGUUAAGUCCCAUAACGAGCGCAACCCCUACUCUUAGUUACCAGCACGUAAUGGUGGGGACUCUAGGAGAACUGCCUACGCAAGUAGAGAGGAAGGUGGGGAUGACGUCAAAUCAGCACGGCCCUUACGUCCAGGGCUACACACGUGCUACAAUGGCAGGCACAGAGGGCAGCUACCUGGUGACAGGAUGCUAAUCCAUUAAAGCCGGUCUCAGUUCGGAUCGAAGUCUGCAACUCGACUUCGUGAAGCUGGAAUCGCUAGUAAUCGCGCAUCAGCCAUGGCGCGGUGAAUACGUUCCCGGGCCUUGUACACACCGCCCGUCAAGCCAUGGAAGCCGGG